GAUGAAGAACGUAGCGAAAUGCGAUAAGUAAUGUGAAUUGCAGAAUUCAGUGAAUCAUCGAAUCUUUGAACGCGCAUUGCGUCCGCCAGUAUUCUGGCGGGCAUGCCUGUUCGAGCGUCAUUACAACCCUCAGGCCCCCGGGCCUGGCGUUGGGGAUCGGCGGAGCCCCCCGUGGGCACACGCCGUCCCCCAAAUGCAGUGGCGGUCCCGCCGCAGCUUCCAUCGCGUAGUAGCUAACACCUCGCGACUGGAGAGCGGCGCGGCCACGCCGUAAAACACCCAACUCUUCUGAAGUUGACCUCGAAUCAGGUAGGAAUACCCGCUGAACUUAAGCAUAUCAAUAAGCGGAGGA
This 352-nucleotide unclassified non-coding RNA is filed under the name soil metagenome. Its description in RNAcentral is "partial contains 5.8S ribosomal RNA, internal transcribed spacer 2, and large subunit ribosomal RNA". The stretch from base 1 to 120 matches the Rfam family "5.8S ribosomal RNA", at positions 35 to 154 of the family's 154-position model. The record is from RNAcentral.